GGAUGGAGUCGCAUACUACAACAAUCUCAUUGAUGAGCUCAUAAACAAAACUCUUAAACCCUUUGCCACAAUCUUUCAUUGGGAUAUUCCCCAAGCCUUAGAAGAUGAGUAUGGUGGUUUCCUAAACCAAACAGUUGUGGAUGAUUUCCUGGACUUCGCGGGGUUUGCUUCCAGAGGUUUGGCGAUAGGGUAAAGCAUUGGAUCACACUAAAUGAGCCAUGGACAUACAGCAAUGGUGGAUACGGAGUCGGGAUGUUAGCACCUUUCCGAUGUUCCAGCUUUAUUGACCCGACUUGCACCGGUG
Long non-coding RNA from Juglans microcarpa x Juglans regia, 304 nucleotides. RefSeq lists it as uncharacterized. NCBI's taxonomy places the organism in Eukaryota, Viridiplantae, Streptophyta, Magnoliopsida, Fagales, Juglandaceae. The transcript has 3 exons. The record is from RefSeq and is a predicted model, not a curated record.